This 399-nucleotide ribosomal RNA is filed under the name uncultured bacterium. Its description in RNAcentral is "bacterial SSU rRNA". It matches the Rfam family "Bacterial small subunit ribosomal RNA", at positions 355 to 751 of the family's 1533-position model. The record is from RNAcentral.
UGAGGAAUAUUGGUCAAUGGGCGAGAGCCUGAACCAGCCAUCCCGCGUGCAGGAAGACGGCCCUAUGGGUUGUAAACUGCUUUUGCGCAUGAAGAAUGUUACCGACGUGUCGGUAAGUGACGGUAAUGCGUGAAUAAGCAUCGGCUAACUCCGUGCCAGCAGCCGCGGUAAUACGGAGGAUGCAAGCGUUAUCCGGAUUUAUUGGGUUUAAAGGGUGCGUAGGCGGCCUUGUAAGUCAGUGGUGAAAACCUGCAGCUCAACUGUAGGCGUGCCAAUGAAACUGUGAGGCUUGAGUGACGUUGAGGCAGGCGGAAUGUGUAGUGUAGCGGUGAAAUGCUUAGAUAUUACACAGAACACCGAUUGCGUAGGCAGCUUGCUAAAGGUUAACUGACGCUGAUG